RNAcentral lists this ribosomal RNA (288 nucleotides) under Triticum aestivum (bread wheat). RNAcentral's name for it is "partial small subunit ribosomal RNA". Lineage: Eukaryota; Viridiplantae; Streptophyta; Magnoliopsida; Poales; Poaceae. The record is from RNAcentral.
AUGGCAAGGAGUGGACCGUUGGUGACAACAAGGGAUGAAGCUUCGGUGUCUCCGAAUGGGAGGGUGGCAAGCACAUCCAGUCCGGCAACGUGCUUGUACAACCCUAGUAUGCACAACGUGGUGCAGGUGGGAGAAGGCGACUACAACUCAUGCAGGGUCUCGGGCCCGUCGAGGACCUACACCUCCGGCAAUGACCACAUCCAGCUCGCCCACGGAGGCAAAGCGUUCUUCAUCUGCAGCCUUCCGGGUCACUGCCAGCAAGGCAUGAAGAUAGUUGUCACUGCUUAA